AGAAAACUAGUUAAACUAUAACAUCGGCUUGUCAGACCGAAAUUGUCAUAUAACAAUUGACGUUUUCCA
RNAcentral lists this transfer RNA (69 nucleotides) under Echinaster brasiliensis. RNAcentral describes it as "tRNA-Asp". The record is from RNAcentral. Lineage: Eukaryota; Metazoa; Echinodermata; Asteroidea; Spinulosida; Echinasteridae.